RNAcentral lists this ribosomal RNA (492 nucleotides) under uncultured bacterium. RNAcentral describes it as "partial 16S ribosomal RNA". It matches the Rfam family "Bacterial small subunit ribosomal RNA", at positions 29 to 507 of the family's 1533-position model. The record is from RNAcentral.
AGUGAACGCUGGCGGUAGGCCUAACACAUGCAAGUCGAACGGCAGCACAGUAAGAGCUUGCUCUUACGGGUGGCGAGUGGCGGACGGGUGAGGAAUACAUCGGAAUCUACUUUUUCGUGGGGGAUAACGUAGGGAAACUUACGCUAAUACCGCAUACGACCUACGGGUGAAAGCAGGGGAUCUUCGGACCUUGCGCGAUUGAAUGAGCCGAUGUCGGAUUAGCUAGUUGGCGGGGUAAAGGCCCACCAAGGCGACGAUCCGUAGCUGGUCUGAGAGGAUGAUCAGCCGCACUGGAACUGAGACACGGUCCAGACUCCUACGGGAGGCAGCAGUGGGGAAUAUUGGACAAUGGGCGCAAGCCUGAUCCAGCCAUACCGCGUGGGUGAAGAAGGCCUUCGGGUUGUAAGGCCCUUUUGUUGGGAAAGAAAAGCAGCAGGUUAAUACCCCGCUGUUCUGACGGUACCCAAAGAAUAAGCACCGGCUAACUUCGUG